This 18-nucleotide small RNA is filed under the name Arabidopsis thaliana (thale cress). RNAcentral's name for it is "ATSL303570". The record is from RNAcentral. Lineage: Eukaryota; Viridiplantae; Streptophyta; Magnoliopsida; Brassicales; Brassicaceae.
AUACCCUUUUGUUCCACG